GACGAACGCUGGCGGCGUGCUUAACACAUGCAAGUCGAACGGAAAGGCCCUGCUUUUGUGGGGUGCUCGAGUGGCGAACGGGUGAGUAACACGUGAGUAACCUGCCCUUGACUUUGGGAUAACUUCAGGAAACUGGGGCUAAUACCGGAUAGGAGCUCCUGCUGCAUGGUGGGGGUUGGAAAGUUUCGGCGGUUGGGGAUGGACUCGCGGCUUAUCAGCUUGUUGGUGGGGUAGUGGCUUACCAAGGCUUUGACGGGUAGCUGGCCUGAGAGGGUGACCGGCCACAUUGGGACUGAGAUACGGCCCAGACUCCUACGGGAGGCAGCAGUGGGGAAUAUUGCACAGUGGGCGGGAGCCUGAUGCAGAAACGCCGCGUGCGGGAUGACGGCCUUCGGGUUAUAAACCGCUUUCGCCUGUGACGAAGCGUGAGUGACGGUAAUGGGUAAAGAAGCACCGGCUAACUACGUG
This 468-nucleotide ribosomal RNA is filed under the name uncultured bacterium. RNAcentral describes it as "partial 16S ribosomal RNA". It matches the Rfam family "Bacterial small subunit ribosomal RNA", at positions 28 to 507 of the family's 1533-position model. The record is from RNAcentral.